UUUUUGGUACCAGGGAUUGAGCCAUAUCCCAGCCCUUUAAAUAUUUUAUUUACAGACAGGGUCUCAUUGUUGAUUAGAGCCUCACUGAGUUGCUGAGGCUGGCUUUGAACUUGCAGUCCUCCUGCCUCAGCCUCCCAAACCCUGGGAUUAUAGGCGUACAACACCAUACCUGGUUAGAAGAAUUCUUACUUCUUCAAUAUUUUUUUUAAUAGUUCAAUGAAUGUUGACUAUAAAAGAAGAGGGAAAAUGUAUUUGUUUUAAAACCACUUUUUGCACUUUAGGCUUCAGUUUUGCAAAAUUGUUUAGAGGGGGCCCAGCAUUCUCAAAAAGGAGGUUCGUAGUUUCUGAUAUUACUUUAUCCUGAUUUUAUAGAGGCUUAUUGUUUUUGUCUGACACAGAAUGUGAAUUUAGACAUUUUAGCUGUAAAACUUGGGCUCCUAACCAGUUGAUAACACUGUCUCUCAAUACUUUCCCAUUCAUUUAGUCAAAAAAUAUUUAUUGAGCACCUGCUAUGUGCCAGGCCUUGUUCUGAGUAUGAGGACCACCAGUGAUGUGGCCUCUGACCUUAGGGAACUGACAUUCUCCUGGGGGACACAGAUGAUAACCAGGGUGGAUAUGUGAUGUGUCGUGAUGAUGAAAGCUAUGAGGAAGCAUGAGAAUAAGAUUAGGGGACUGGGCACAGUGGCACUAACCUG
Molecule: long non-coding RNA, 695 nt
Filed under: Marmota monax (woodchuck)
Lineage: Eukaryota; Metazoa; Chordata; Mammalia; Rodentia; Sciuridae
Source: RNAcentral